RNAcentral lists this transfer RNA (59 nucleotides) under Neorhodopirellula lusitana. Its description in RNAcentral is "Rhodopirellula lusitana tRNA_Opal_TCA". It matches the Rfam family "tRNA", at positions 7 to 64 of the family's 71-position model. Rfam says of the family: Transfer RNA (tRNA) molecules are approximately 80 nucleotides in length. The record is from RNAcentral. Lineage: Bacteria; Pseudomonadati; Planctomycetota; Planctomycetia; Pirellulales; Pirellulaceae.
GUAGCUCAGUGGGUAGAGCAUCAGGAAAUGACCUGACGGUCACGGGUUCGACUCCCGUC